GUGUCGAUGAGCAGGAAGGAAGAAAAGGGUUCAAACCCUAGUUUCUUCAAAAUCUUCAAAUUAAAAGGGAAAUCGAAGGCUAGUUGACUGCAUAAACUAAGAAUGGUGAUCAUCUAAGCAUUUCCUACAUCAACAUUAGGGAUCAUGUGGACAUGGACUCAAGCACGAAAGACUAACGGGUCAAGAUGAGGCAAGCAAGCGGGUAUGAACACGGAUGCACAAGGUUGUGCGGGUCACGGAGGAUCAUCGAGGAAUAAAGAUCGAAGAACGAGUCACAUAAGGGAUUGUACGGGGUUGUCUAAGGAUGCAAAUUGUUGUACAUAAGCUAUGAUUUAUUCUAUAAUUGAGUCAGUUUGUCGUAUUCAAUAUAAAAGAGUUAUUAUAAAAGUGAACUUUCAAGUAAGACGUAAGGUUUAUAAUGAAAGAAUUUUUAUGGCAUGAACUUCCGCU
Molecule: long non-coding RNA, 450 nt
Organism: Helianthus annuus (common sunflower)
Lineage: Eukaryota; Viridiplantae; Streptophyta; Magnoliopsida; Asterales; Asteraceae
Exons: 3
Source: RefSeq, a predicted model, not a curated record